AGCGGAGGAAAAGAAACUAACAAGGAUUCCCCUAGUAGCGGCGAGCGAAGCGGGAAGAAGCUCCAAAUUUAUAAUCUGGCACCUUCGGUGUCCGAGUUGUAAUCUCUAGAAGUGUUUUCCGCGUUGGACCGCGCAUAAGUCUGUUGGAAUACAGCGGCACAGUGGUGAGACCCCCGUAUGUGGUGCGGACGCCCAGCGCUUUGUGAUACACUUUCGAAGAGUCGAGUUGUUUGGGAAUGCAGCUCAAAUUGGGUGGUAAAUUCCAUCUAAAGCUAAAUAUUGGCGAGAGACCGAUAGCGAACAAGUACCGUGAGGGAAAGAUGAAAAGCACUUUGGAAAGAGAGUUAACAGUACGUGAAAUUGUUGGAAGGGAAACGCUUGAAGUCAGACUUGCUUGCCGGGCAACCGGUUUGCAGGCCAGCAUCAGUUUUCCGGGGUGGAUAAUGGUAGAGAGAAGGUAGCAGUUUCGGCUGUGUUAUAGCUCUCUACUGGAUACACCUUGGGGGACUGAGGAACGCAGUGUGCCUUACGGCGGAGGUUUCGACCUCUUCACACUUAGGAUGCUGGUGGAAUGGCUUUAAACGACCCGUCU
Molecule: ribosomal RNA, 592 nt
Filed under: Rhodotorula sphaerocarpa
Lineage: Eukaryota; Fungi; Basidiomycota; Microbotryomycetes; Sporidiobolales; Sporidiobolaceae
Description: eukaryotic LSU rRNA
Rfam family: Eukaryotic large subunit ribosomal RNA
Source: RNAcentral